Molecule: long non-coding RNA, 610 nt
Organism: Chinchilla lanigera (long-tailed chinchilla)
Lineage: Eukaryota; Metazoa; Chordata; Mammalia; Rodentia; Chinchillidae
Exons: 2
Source: RefSeq, a predicted model, not a curated record
GGCUCCUGGGAGUGGGUGCACCUUGCCUAACCCCCUCGGUGGGCUUACCCUCAAGAGAAACCGGCACACUGUCUCCAUGGACCACACCACCAGCUUCUGUAGGAUCGCCGGCUAGGCAAGCAAGAUAAACCCUUUGGCUGCCGAGCAGACAGAUACCACCAGAAUGCUUGACAGCCUUGGGUACCCUCCCCCCUGGAAGGAGAAGGACCUGGUUCCAGGAGAACUUCCAGCCUAAUUCUCUGGCCCCAUGCGGAAUGAAUUCAGGAAGGAUCUUGUGGAAGAGAAGGCUGAAGAUGGAAGACAGGUCAGAGUUCAUUGGGGGAACAAGCUAAGGAGGGGAUUGUAGUGGAGGACGCAGCAUGUCCCAAGGUCCUGAGGCAGACUGGAGAGUAUUGAUUUUAAGAGACAGGACAUGAACUACUAAGACAGGAAAGCAAGGAACCUGCUUGGGACAGGGCUCUGUCUUGUCUGACCCUUCUAGAUUUGGGGCUCAAUUUCUGCCCCACUUUCCCCCCUCCCUGAGUCCCAGCUCAUCCCUUCAGCUUGAAGACCCUUAGACACGGCCAAGAAGCAAAGAGUUGUGCAAGAAAAAUAAACUCUUUUGGAGGAC